Molecule: ribosomal RNA, 404 nt
Filed under: uncultured bacterium
Lineage: Bacteria
Description: partial 16S ribosomal RNA
Rfam family: Bacterial small subunit ribosomal RNA
Source: RNAcentral
AUUGAACGCUGGCGGCAGGCCUAACACAUGCAAGUCGAGCGAGCGGCGGACGGGUGAGUAAUGCCUGGGAAUUGCCCAGUCGAGGGGGAAAACAGUUGGAAACGACUGCUAAUACCGCAUACGAUUGGAUUGCCCAGGUGGGAUGAGCUAGUUGGUGAGGUAAUGGCUCACAAAGGCCACGAUCCCUAGCGGGUCUGAGAGGAUGAUCAGCCACACUGGAACGGAGAAACGGUACAGACUCCUACGGGAGGCAGCAGUGGGGAAUAUUGCACAAUGGGGGAAACCCUGAGGCAGCCAUGCCGCGUGGGGGAAGAAGGCCUUCGGGUUGUAAAGCACUUUCAGCGAGGAGGCGUUACUCGCAGAAGAAGCACCGGCUAACUCCGUGCCAGCAGCCGCGGUAAUUC